Non-coding RNA from Acanthosepion pharaonis, 109 nucleotides. The record is from the annotation of a GenBank genome assembly. NCBI's taxonomy places the organism in Eukaryota, Metazoa, Mollusca, Cephalopoda, Sepiida, Sepiidae.
UUACGGCCAUAUCAUAUUCAAACACCGGUUCUCGUCCGAUCCCCGAAGUUAAGCAACGUUGAACCUGGUCAGUACCUAGAUGGAUGACCGGUCGGAAAUAUGAGGUGCU